Gasterosteus aculeatus aculeatus (three-spined stickleback) is the source of this 873-nucleotide long non-coding RNA. NCBI's taxonomy places the organism in Eukaryota, Metazoa, Chordata, Actinopteri, Perciformes, Gasterosteidae. The record is from Ensembl.
UGUGUGUGUGUGGUGCGUCGGCGGAGCUAUGAAUGGGCAGAGAGGGGUGUGCUCUCACACACACCGACAUCAUCGUAGCAGCAGUGAGAUGAGGAGUGCCAUCUACUCUACUGCACGUCUGUACUGAGCAGAACGAAGGGAGGAAAAGAGAGUCUUGCAGAUGAAUACAUAAGCGGUGUAACACCAAACCCAUCCAUCACUUCACUGAAAGAUUCUGCUGAGCUGGUGAGGAAGAAGCCAUUUUUAAUGUUGUACAACCUCAAUAUUCCAAAGGAAAUCAUCCAAUCAGCACUUAUCUUCUCUUGAGACGGAUUGUCAAGUCAGCCAUGGAACAGAAGGCAAAUGAGUGUCCCACCACCACGUCUCCUCAGAAGUACAUGAAGAACAGGUCCAAAUCCACAGAGGAGAUGCAACAGACCAAGAAGUCCUUCUCUUCUCAAAAAUCCCUCCCGGGCAGACCAGAGCUGGACAAAGUAAAGGAGUCAUCCGAAGGCUCCGACACGCCGUCGUCCUCCACUGAGGAGCUAAAGUGACAAAGGGAAAGACAUUCGAGUCAAGCCAUCAAGUUACAAAAUCUUAACAUGCAUACAAAUGUAAUUCAAGAAAACAUUCAAAUCAUUAUUCAAGAUAUUUGUGAACUAGAUUAGAAAAUGCACAAGUAAAGGAUUGGUGGAACAAAACAUACAAAAUGGGCCAAAUUGAAGACACACACACACACAGUCCAAAUGAUUGAAUCCAUUGCUUGUAAACCUGUCAUGAUGCUCCUUUGUGGUAAUGUGAGUGGCGUAUACUUACCAAACUGAAUAUAUACAUUCAUUACGUGUGUGUGUACAAUAAAGUGAUGCUGUUAACUGGAUCAGUCUUUAUCAAGAA